UUCUGGGUAUCUUUGGACCUACCAGCUUUGGUGGCCUCCCUUCCAAGCCACAGAAGACCAUACUCUUGUUUAUUGGAAAGGGUGUCACUAUUUAAUUGGCAUCAGAUACACUGACUAGCACAAGUAGCAUCC
This is a small nucleolar RNA of Acomys russatus (golden spiny mouse), 132 nucleotides long. RefSeq annotates it as small nucleolar RNA SNORA24. The record is from RefSeq and is a predicted model, not a curated record. NCBI's taxonomy places the organism in Eukaryota, Metazoa, Chordata, Mammalia, Rodentia, Muridae. The transcript has a single exon.